This 269-nucleotide ribosomal RNA is filed under the name uncultured eukaryote. Its description in RNAcentral is "partial small subunit ribosomal RNA". It matches the Rfam family "Eukaryotic small subunit ribosomal RNA", at positions 587 to 861 of the family's 1831-position model. The record is from RNAcentral.
AGCUCCAAUAGCGUAUAUUAAAGUUGUUGCGGUUAAAAAGCUCGUAGUUGGAUUUCUGCCGAGGACGACCGGUCCGCCCUCCGGGUGAGCAUCUGGUUCGGCCUUGACAUCUUCUUGGUGAACGUAGCUGCACUUGACUGUGUGGUGCGGUACCCAGGACUUUUACUUUGAGGAAAUUAGAGUGUUUCAAGCAGGCAUACGCCUUGAAUACAUUAGCAUGGAAUAAUAGCAAGGACCGUGUGUCAGAGCUGUUGGUUUUUGGCACGUGG